Long non-coding RNA from Homo sapiens (human), 604 nucleotides. Ensembl annotates it as small nucleolar RNA host gene 29. Its record names the gene SNHG29. The record is from Ensembl. Lineage: Eukaryota; Metazoa; Chordata; Mammalia; Primates; Hominidae.
CUUUUCAUUCCCGUUGUUAUGGAGGGCCACAUCUGCCAGAGCCUGGAGUCUGCGAAGGCCGGGACCCGGUUCCCCGGCCCACAGUGGGGGUGUGCAAACCCGAGAGAACUGGAUUGCGUACCCACUGCAGAGUGCUGAAGACGGGGUAGCCACGAGUCAAGUCUUCACCACUUGCUGGUUCCCAGGAGUAAACUUGUUUGAACGGUGACCUAAUUGCUAUAUUCACCUAGGUUGCAAAUUCGUGAAGAAUCAGCAUCAUGUUUGGCAGCUGAGUAUUGGAGCCAGGAGCCUGCCAUGAGGUUUUGAGAACAGAGUGCUGUUUUAGAGCUGGCAGCAGCAUCUCAGCCCAAGAGAAGGUUAUAUUCCCAGAGGAUGUCAGUCCCAAGGACCAGUAGCUGCCAUCAGUUUGGAUUCUGAAAACUAACUGGCAUCAACACUGGGUGUAGAAACAUGCUUGCCUUAUGUAUCAGAGGACAUGCUCAGCAGAUCCAAGAGAUAUAUUUGGCAACUUUUUCUAGAAAAGGCACAUUGGGUAUCAUUCAUUACAUUCUUGAGUUUUUUUGGGUUUUUUUUUUUUUUUUUGAGACAGUCUUGCUGUAUUGCC